GACGAACGCUGGCGGCGUGCUUAACACAUGCAAGUCGAACGGAAAGGCCCUGCUUUUGUGGGGUGCUCGAGUGGCGAACGGGUGAGUAACACGUGAGUAACCUGCCCUUGACUUUGGGAUAACUUCAGGAAACUGGGGCUAAUACCGGAUAGGAGCUCCUGCUGCACGGUGGGGGUUGGAAAGUUUCGGCGGUUGGGGAUGGACUCGCGGCUUAUUAGCUUGUUGGUGGGGUAGUGGCUUACCAAGGCUUUGACGGGUAGCCGGCCUGAGAGGGUGACCGGCCACAUUAGGACGGAGAUACGGCCCAGACUCCUACGGGAGGCAGCAGUGGGGAAUAUUGCACAAUGGGCUGAAGCCUGAUGCAGCAACGCCGCGUGCGGGAUGACGUCCUUCGGGUUGUAAACCGCUUUCGCCUGUGACGAAGCGUGAGUGACGGUAAUGGGUAAAGAAGCACCGGCUAACUACGUG
This 468-nucleotide ribosomal RNA is filed under the name uncultured bacterium. RNAcentral describes it as "partial 16S ribosomal RNA". It matches the Rfam family "Bacterial small subunit ribosomal RNA", at positions 28 to 507 of the family's 1533-position model. The record is from RNAcentral.